CAUGCCCCUUAUGACCUGGGCUACACACGUGCUACAAUGGAUAGUACAAAGGGUCGCGAAGCCGCGAGGUGGAGCUAAUCCCAUAAAACUAUUCUCAGUUCGGAUUGUAGGCUGCAACUCGCCUACAUGAAGCCGGAAUCGCUAGUAAUCGUGGAUCAGCAUGCCACGGUGAAUACGUUCCCGGGCCUUGUACACACCGCCCGUCACACCACGAGAGUUUGUAACUCCCGAAGUCGGUAGGGUAACCUGUAUGGAGCCAGCCGCCGAAGGUGGGUCUGUUAUUUGGGGUGUUGUCGUAACAAGGUAGGCGUAUCGGUAGGUGCGGCUGGAUCACCUCCUUU
This 341-nucleotide ribosomal RNA is filed under the name Listeria monocytogenes. RNAcentral's name for it is "bacterial SSU rRNA". It matches the Rfam family "Bacterial small subunit ribosomal RNA", at positions 1194 to 1533 of the family's 1533-position model. Lineage: Bacteria; Bacillati; Bacillota; Bacilli; Caryophanales; Listeriaceae. The record is from RNAcentral.